This 342-nucleotide ribosomal RNA is filed under the name uncultured bacterium. Its description in RNAcentral is "bacterial SSU rRNA". It matches the Rfam family "Bacterial small subunit ribosomal RNA", at positions 455 to 793 of the family's 1533-position model. The record is from RNAcentral.
AAUAGCGGCGUUGUUUGACGUUAGCGACAGAAGAAGCACCGGCUAACUCCGUGCCAGCAGCCGCGGUAAUACGGAGGGUGCGAGCGUUAAUCGGAAUUACUGGGCGUAAAGCGCAUGCAGGUGGUUUGUUAAGUCAGAUGUGAAAGACCCGGGGCUCAACCUCGGAAUUGCAUUUGUAAACUGGCAGACUAGAGUACUGUAGAGGGGGGUAGGAAUUUCAGGUGUAGCGGUGAAAUGCGUAGAGAUCUGAAGGAAUACCGGUGGCGAAGGCGGCCCCCUGGACAGAUACUGACACUCAGAUGCGAAAGCGUGGGGAGCAAACAGGAUUAGAUACCCUGGUAG